RNAcentral lists this long non-coding RNA (226 nucleotides) under Nicotiana benthamiana. RNAcentral describes it as "long non-coding RNA (NBEN_LNC000781)". Lineage: Eukaryota; Viridiplantae; Streptophyta; Magnoliopsida; Solanales; Solanaceae. The record is from RNAcentral.
AAGCAACGAACACCAUAGCCAUCCGUUCGUUGCUUCUGCAUCUGCUUUCAUCAACCACGAACAGCAACAGCCUUCACCCCGUUUCCCAUUGUCAAUACCAUCCUAAACGACGACCAGGACUGCCUGAAACCGGCGACCACUAGCAGUCCGCCACUCUUGUCACAGUCGUCUUCUCCACCAGCGACAGUCACACGCAGCAAACGACCACUCCUUCUCCUCCAAUCUC